CAGAAAUAUCCAUUUUAACUAAAUAUUUCCACAAAUGUAAAUUGCAGCAUGUCCACCUCGGACCUUCGGCCCCCGUCCCUCCUCACCGUUCCUCCGCCCCUGCAAGCCCGCUUCCAGGUCUGCAUGCAACCUGCAGCAACCGGGAGGCGGUUCACGCGGACACCAUAAAAACAUAAACUACACCGAACUGAUGAUUAAAAUCCGCUGGAAAUAGCUCAAAGUACGAUUAUCGAAACUAGCUGUGGACACGAACGCAGCUUUUUGGGAAAACAAAAAUAACAGCUUCAGAAGUUAAAAACGUCACUCUGCAGUGUGCCAACUUUAUCUGAUAAAGAAUAAAGUUUUUCCACACAUGUCAACAUUCGAGGCCACCAUUUUUUGUUUCAUAAGCGGACAUGUUUGUGUUGUUUGUCCCGAACUCUGCGCUGGCUGCCGCAGACCCAGCUGCGGCGGUCUCUGAAACCCUCUAGCGGCACGGAGCGCCACGCCGCCCGGCGUGCUUCGGUAGGAGACUCCGCAGAGCGACCAUGUUUCCUCGUACCGGCCACGGCUGUCAAAACCCCGCGGUGGCUCGGCGGAAAACGGCUAAAACCCCCAUUUACGUCUCGGAUCGUUAGUACUCCAUUGAUGGAUGACUCGAUUUUUUCAUGGUGGUGCAGAGCACCAGCAGCAGCUUAAUGGCACAUUGGUGACCUUGAAAGUCCUGUUGCCUGGUCAUUCUGGUGGUUUCAUUUGCAUCUAAAUGAGGACGACAGUUAUUGGUAAUUUGUGAUAAUGGACUCAGACUCAGCAAUGAAAAGUGACAUGAGAGAAACAUGAGAAAAGUCCUCCAGAUUCAUUCAUUUGAUACUGACGCGGUGUGGUGGGAAUGCUAAACAGCGUCGGUUGCUGUGGACGCGGCCCACCAACAGUCACCAGAGGAGAAACUGUUGCUCAGCACCAUGGACAGCAAUUCAGCUCGAAGAAGCCAGAGGGGGAACGGGACAACCUGAGGCGGGAAAAAAAACUCUUAAAUGCAGAUUUAUAUUCAAAAUGUCAAUGUUAUUAAUAAAAACUGAAACAAAUCAACUGUAA
Oryzias latipes (Japanese medaka) is the source of this 1074-nucleotide non-coding RNA. The record is from RefSeq and is a predicted model, not a curated record. Lineage: Eukaryota; Metazoa; Chordata; Actinopteri; Beloniformes; Adrianichthyidae.